AUACGUAGGAUCCGAGCGUUAUCCGGAUUCAUUGGGUUUAAAGGGUGGGCAGGCGGCCAUUUAAGUCCGCGGUUAAAUCGAGGGGCUCAACCCCAUUCUGCCGUUGAGACUGGGGGGCUUUAUUGGGGUGGAGGUUGGCGGGAUUUGUUGGGUGGUGGUGUAAUGCAUAGAUAUGACGAAGAACACCGAUCGCGUAGGCAGCUGUCCAGACCGCAAAUGACGCUCAUGCACGAAAGUGCGGGGAUCGAACAGGAUUAGAUACCCUGGUAGUCCGAACAGUAAACGAUUAAUACUUGGUUUCGGCGAUAUAAUGGCGCGGGCAAAGCGAAAGCGAUAAGUAUUCCACCUGGGGAGUACGCCGGCAACGGUGAAACUCAAAGGAAUUGGCGGGG
This 392-nucleotide ribosomal RNA is filed under the name uncultured bacterium. RNAcentral's name for it is "partial 16S ribosomal RNA". It matches the Rfam family "Bacterial small subunit ribosomal RNA", at positions 523 to 918 of the family's 1533-position model. The record is from RNAcentral.